This is a long non-coding RNA of Solanum pennellii, 2132 nucleotides long. RefSeq lists it as uncharacterized. NCBI's taxonomy places the organism in Eukaryota, Viridiplantae, Streptophyta, Magnoliopsida, Solanales, Solanaceae. The record is from RefSeq and is a predicted model, not a curated record. The transcript is spliced from 2 exons.
ACAUGUUUAUCUUUCCCUACAUAAGCCUUAACACCUCCUUGAUGUGCAACACCGCCAUUUCCAGCUCUAUUCUCUCUUGCUCUUCUCUAAUUUUAUUGUUUUCUUGUGAAGUUUGAGUUGCGUUCUCCACCAAUUCUAACAACACAUUCGUCUUCAAACGUUUGCCCUCACUUAAUCUUUUCUUGCUCUCAAAUUGGUACAUCGAUGGUUACUAUCUCGAGUAAGUUGUUUAUGAAAUAAGCUAGGCAUUUCAUUUUUUCGUUUUCCAAAAUCCGACAAAUUAUGGUUAUUCUUGGAUUAUGCAUGGUUUAAUUUAAUUUUGCAAGCGCUUUUUAAUUUAAGUGUAUCCCACAAUUUUUGGGUGUUUCUUCACUACCUGUUAAAUGCACUUCAUCUAAUGCGCUUCAGAUACAAAUUGCAAAACCAAAGAGUAGAAGGCAAAGUCAGGGAAUUAAGGACCCAGAUAAUAUUAUGGAACAAAUUAUCAGGCGUGAGAUAAAGAGGAGUUCAAAAUUGAGACCGAUGGAAAACUUCAGCAAACCCAACUCUAAAUAUGAAUUUUGCCGUUGAAUUGUGAAAAUUGAUAUGCUUUAACAUGGAAAUACCUAAUUUAAUAGACUCUUUUUUUGAAUUCCAUCAUUCUAAUUUGUUUAACUGCAUUUUACAUUAUUGUAAAAUAGUGAAAUGGAUCUCUAUUGUUGUCGUCUUUCAUACUCCCUUGAUUCGUCACUUUUUUAAGUUGUUAAAGCGUCUAUAGAGUUUUCAUCAAAAUUCGAUGGAAGUAUACUUGGUAUUGUGUUCUGUAGCUUCUACUUGUGGCUCUUAGAUGACAACGACACAACAUAUAUUUGUGCUCGCGUACUUUCUUAUUUAGAUAUUUGAUGAUUGUUUUUUGGCCUCAUGUAUAUCAACUAAUAGCUAAAGCAAUUGAAGUUGUGAUGACGCCAAGCUGGAAGUGCCUUUGUUUUUGUCUACUCUAUAGUGAUUCUCUAGUGCCAUGACAAUUGUUGCGAUUUGAUCAAAAUUUUGGAUACAUUUUUGCUUCAGAAAUCUAACCACUCCUCGAUACAUAGAUCAUCGUGCCACAACACCACCGCUUGGUUUCCUUCUUCUCUAUAACACAGUGUCAGGUUUGGACGUAAAUUUCAUUGAUUUUUUUUUGUUAUGAAAUUUUUCGAUAAUGAAAGUUGAUCGUGUAACUUCAAUUUCCCAAUAUUGACACUGGCCAUUUCUAAAAAAUGUAUAACCUUCCAUUUUUCCUAAUUAAAAUGAGACUUUUUCUUUCUUUGUUAAUGGUGAGUGAAUUCAGCUGGCCAAAUAGUUCUGUUAUGCCGACUCAAAUAUGGUGGAAGCCUGAACACUAUAUGUGGGACUUAUAUCUCCGACAUGGUUUUCCAAUUCACAUGUGAUUGGUACUUCAAACUUGCUCUAUAUUGUCGUCAUUAUGUCUUUCUGAUGGAGUCCGGGUCUCAUCUGUCUCUUUGUAUUCAACGUCAAAUAUUUGAUAUAUUCUUUGGAACUCUUUCUUACUCUAUGUUCAUGAUGUUGAGUUGUGGAUUACUACUGAAUGCGGAAGAUUGCAUAUUAUUUUGACUCAACUAAAUGUCGCUGAAACUUUUGGAACUCAUGCUUGAUGAUAUUUGUUGAUGAUAUGCAUUUAGGUGCAAAUGGUCUGGAUGCUCCAAGGGAUUUUCUUGUUUCUGUUGUUGCCUGGUACAAAAAUGGCUCCCAUCCAUGUUACACUAAUUUACAGUAGUGUAGUGUUGAAUUACGCAUUGCGAAGUAGGACUUAUCUCCUUUUAUUGUGGUCGCUUGGCAUAACAAUUUUCUCCCUUAUAAGACGGAUCAUUGCUCGAAGUUUCUUCAUGCAUCCUCCGACGAUAAUCCAUGAGCUCUUCACAAUUUCGUAAUUCUUUUAUCCGUCUGACUCCUUUUAGCAGUCUUCAAGCUGCUUUUCCACCUUAGUUGCAAAGGAACUUUCUGAUUGUUGUAUAUACUUAUAUUGCCGGGGCUGCCUGUACUUGUGUGUGUGUGAGAGUGUGUGUAUGUCUAUAUAUCAUAAAUAUAUUCACGAUUAAUAUAUGUUAUUCAUAUUAAAUAACUUAUAAAAGUUCAUUCGGCUCUUUUCUCCA